AAGGAGAGAGCCAGAGACCAAAUAGGGAGAAGGAGAGGCAGAAAGGGAAGCCUCUACAGAGGGAGAGAGGUGUGUGUACUAUCCUAAAAAGAAGGAAUAAAUGGAGAAGAAAAGAAAAAGAAAAUUUAGGAGAAGAAAGAAAGGAGAGAGGGAACUGUGUUUUGUCUUGGAGUAAAAGAAAGAAGAAGAUAUAUCAGUUGGACUUUAACCAUUAUUUGGCUAUAGUAUUUUAAAUUGGUUUUAUUGUUCAAAAACUGUAAUUGGACAUAUGUAUUGAAAGAAUUUGUAACUAUGAAUGGAAAAUGUUCAGGGUUAGAUUUAGUUGGACUCUUUAUAUGGAAUAGAACCCUAAGGCAUUGUUGCAUGCUUGUAUAGGUAGUAGUGCCCUGAAGUGAGUGAAACCCCAGCUGAAAUUUUCGAGUUAAUUGAUUGACAUUUGGAAAACUGCAUCAUCUAUGUGAUACUCAUGGUUCGGCUGAUGGCUAUGCCAAAGGUACAUGAGUCAUAUGAGUUUUCUUUGGUUGUCUUAAGUUUUGUUGAUGGCCAUGCCGAAGGUGGAGUGUUAAAUCAAUUCUGUAUUUUUUCCCACUUAGGUAUUUCUUGGAAAAAAUGGUGUUCGAGAUGCCAUUGGUAAGAAGAUGCCAAAAUUGAAAUUGACCUACAUAUUCAAUCACCUUCAUUUCAGAGUUGCAAAGGAAAAGCUUACUGAUUGGAUGUUUAUGACUAUAUCUACUAAGAACUGAGUCAACUUAGUACAGAAUUUGCUGUGGAUCACAUAAAAAUGAGAUUCACUGCCAUUGCAGUGAAUAUUAUAAGCUGAAUAUAGUGCAAAGGUUCCUCCCUUGUAUUCCUGACCAAUCCAGUGUCAUUUGUUGAAUCUUCUUCAGCUAUAUCUCAGUCAAUAAUUCUUCUCUUGCAGCAAAAACCCAACAAGUGAAUUAAAAAAAGAGGACAAAUUAUUAAAAAACAGAGGAAAGAAGUUUCGGUUGAAGGGGGAAACAGGAAUAGCAGCUGCACUUUCAGCUUAUUGUCAUGCAGAGCUUUCUAGCCGCUGGAAGUGCCUACCAUUGUUCAUAUAUUCCUGGGCUUGAUGUUGGGGUUGUCUCAUGUUCUGCAAUUCUUGUAUUUGUGGUCACUAGAUCUUUUGUGUGGGAAUUAAGGAGGUACCUUAACAAUUAUUAUUUUCCUUUCCAUGGAAAUUUAAUUUUCAUUUUAGUCUUUCAAUUCAAACACUAUAUAUUCCUUGUCAUAGUAGUGUUGGAAGGAAGGGGGCACACAAGAGUUAAGGCUGCCUAAGAGUCCUCUUUGAAGACUAAAGGUUAGGUGGUGAGACUUCUUUGGAGAUUUGCAUGUGGAUUGCGUAUGCGAGUUGGUUACUGACUAAACUCUCUCUCUCUUUCUGUUUCUAUAUAAAAGGUGGGGGAGUGAGAGGGUAAUGUAUAAAGGUAAAUAUAUUUCUGAUUCUCAAACCAUGAAGCAGUCUUCUUGUGAUAUCUCGUUUUUACUUUGGUCUUUGUGAGGACGAAAGAGGGGAGGAAAGAAGGAAGAGAAGGCGUUAUCUUGUAUUGGGUUGUGGCAUGACGGCGUUCUCUCUGUCAAGGAAAGAAAGAAAGGUACUGAGUUUUUUCUGUAUUUUUUAAUGACAUGUUUGAAGGUGACAGUACUAUAAUUUUGUAAAUCCACCUUUGUUUGGUGAGUUUCUUUGUAACCCAAGAUGUAAUUUUUUCUCUUGAUAUUUUGGUAGCCUCUAUAUUGUCUAGAGAGGAGAUCUUGUAUCCUCUUUACUAUUAUAGUGAAAGUUUUUACCUGGACGAGGUCCCGUGGUUUUUUCCCUUUCGUCUUGAAAGGGUUUUCCACGUUAAAAAUGGUGUGCAUUUGUAGAUUGAGUUGAUUUGUUUCGGCGUCAUUACUUUAUAUAUAUAUUUUUGUUAUCAUUGUGGAACUC
Macadamia integrifolia is the source of this 1945-nucleotide long non-coding RNA. RefSeq lists it as uncharacterized. The transcript has 5 exons. Lineage: Eukaryota; Viridiplantae; Streptophyta; Magnoliopsida; Proteales; Proteaceae. The record is from RefSeq and is a predicted model, not a curated record.